GACGAACGCUGGCGGCGUGCUUAACACAUGCAAGUCGAACGAUGACGACCGAGCUUGCUCGGUCUGAUUAGUGGCGAACGGGUUAGUAACACGUGAGCAACCUGCCCUUUACUCUGGUAUAACCUCGGGAAAUCGGGGCUAAUACCGGAUAUGAGCUCCUGUCGCAUGGCGGGUGUUGGAAAGUUUUUCGGUGAAGGAUGGGCUCGCGGCCUAUCAGUUUGUUGGUGAGGUAGUGGCUCACCAAGGCGAUGACGGGUAGCCGGCCUGAGAGGGCGACCGGCCACACUGGGACUGAGAGACGGCCCAGACUCCGACGGGAGGCAGCAGUGGGGAAUAUUGAACAAUGGGCGAAAGCCUGAUGCAGGGAAGACGCGUGAGGGAUGACGGCCUUCGGGGUGUAAACCUCUUUCAGCAGGGAAGAAGCGAAAGUGACGGUACCUGCAGAAGAAGCGCCGGCUAACUACGUG
This 467-nucleotide ribosomal RNA is filed under the name uncultured bacterium. RNAcentral describes it as "partial 16S ribosomal RNA". It matches the Rfam family "Bacterial small subunit ribosomal RNA", at positions 28 to 507 of the family's 1533-position model. The record is from RNAcentral.